AAUUAUCAUACUUCAAAUAAUCAAUUCCCCACGAAGCAAAAGUCAUAGCAUCCUGCUCCUCAUGGCCAAGUGAACCCGGCAUUGUUUUGCUACAUGUAAAAUACCCUGCAUCUGCGUAAAUUCCUAAUUUAAGACCUUUGCUGUGAACAUAGUCUGCCAGCGCUUUAAUGCCAGAUGGAAAUGUAGCGUUCUUAGGCACUAGCCUUCCCUCUUCAUCACGAGCUAUUUCUGCCCAGCAAUCAUCAAUGUUAAC
RNAcentral lists this unclassified non-coding RNA (253 nucleotides) under Hevea brasiliensis (rubber tree). Lineage: Eukaryota; Viridiplantae; Streptophyta; Magnoliopsida; Malpighiales; Euphorbiaceae. The record is from RNAcentral.